RNAcentral lists this transfer RNA (87 nucleotides) under Myxococcales bacterium. Its description in RNAcentral is "tRNA-Ser". It matches the Rfam family "tRNA". Rfam says of the family: Transfer RNA (tRNA) molecules are approximately 80 nucleotides in length. Their secondary structure includes four short double-helical elements and three loops (D, anti-codon, and T loops). Lineage: Bacteria; Pseudomonadati; Myxococcota; Myxococcia; Myxococcales. The record is from RNAcentral.
GGAGAGAUGACCGAGUGGCCGAAGGUGCCUGAUUCGAAAUCAGGUGUGCUCGCAAGGGCACCGUGGGUUCGAAUCCCACUCUCUCCG